Molecule: unclassified non-coding RNA, 378 nt
Filed under: plant metagenome
Description: partial contains 5.8S ribosomal RNA, internal transcribed spacer 2, and large subunit ribosomal RNA
Rfam family: 5.8S ribosomal RNA (bases 1-105)
Source: RNAcentral
GAAAUGCGAUAAGUAAUGUGAAUUGCAGAAUUCAGUGAAUCAUCGAAUCUUUGAACGCACCUUGCGCUCCUUGGUAUUCCUUGGAGCAUGUCUGUUUGAGUAUCAUGAAAUCUUCAAAGUAAAUCUUUUGUUAACUCAAUUGGUUUCUACUUUGGUAUUGGAGGUCUUUGCAGCUUCACACCUGCUCCUCUUUGUUCAUUAGCUGGAUCUCAGUGUUAUGCUUGGUUCCACUCGGCGUGAUAAGUUUUCUAUCGCUGAGGACACUGUAAAAGGUGGCCAAGGUAAAUGCAGAUGAACCGCUUCUAAUAGUCCAUUGACUUGGACAAUACUUUUAUGAUCUGAUCUCAAAUCAGGUAGGACUACCCGCUGAACUUAAGC